GGGGGUGUAGCUCAGUUGGGAGAGCACUUGCUUUGCACGCAAGGGGUCGCAGGUUCAACUCCUGUCAUCUCCACCA
This 76-nucleotide transfer RNA is filed under the name Halobacteriovorax marinus. Its description in RNAcentral is "tRNA-Ala". It matches the Rfam family "tRNA". From Rfam's summary of the family: Transfer RNA (tRNA) molecules are approximately 80 nucleotides in length. Their secondary structure includes four short double-helical elements and three loops (D, anti-codon, and T loops). Lineage: Bacteria; Pseudomonadati; Bdellovibrionota; Bacteriovoracia; Bacteriovoracales; Halobacteriovoraceae. RNAcentral also lists the same sequence under 2 other names. The record is from RNAcentral.